GAUGAACGCUGGCGGCGUGCCUCUUACAUGCAAGUCAAACGCGCAGCGAAAGGUGCUUGCACCUUUCAAGCGAGUGGCGAACGGGUGAGUAACACGUGAAUAACCUGCCUCAAGGCUGGGGAUAACAUUUGAAAACAAAUGCUAAUACCGAAUAAAACUUAGUAUCGCAUGAUACAAAGUUAAAAGGCGCUACGGCGUCACCUAAAGAUGGAUCCGCGGUGCAUUAGUUAGUUGGGGGGGUAAAGGCUUACCAAGACAAUGAUGCAUACCCAAGUUGAGAGACUGAUCGGCCACAUUGGGACUGAAACACGGCCCAAACUCCUACGGGAGGCAGCAGUGGGGAAUAUUGCACAAUGGGGGAAACCCUGAUGCAGCGACCCCGCGUGAAGAAAAAAGGUCUUCGGAUUGUAAACUCCUGUUGUUGAGGAAAAUAAUGACGGUACUCAACAAGGAAGU
RNAcentral lists this ribosomal RNA (456 nucleotides) under uncultured bacterium. Its description in RNAcentral is "bacterial SSU rRNA". It matches the Rfam family "Bacterial small subunit ribosomal RNA", at positions 28 to 491 of the family's 1533-position model. The record is from RNAcentral.